GUGUCAGCAGCCGCGGUAAUACAGAGGGUGCAAGCGUUAAUCGGAAUUACUGGGCGUAAAGCGUGCGUAGACGGUUAUCUAAGUCGGGUGUGAAAGCCCCGGGCUCAACCUGGGAAUUGCAUUCGAGACUGAAUAGCUAGGGUUCGGAAGAGGGAAGCGGAAUUUCCGGUGUAGCGGUGAAAUGCGUAGAUAUCGGAAGGAACACCAGUGGCGAAAGCGGCUUCCUGGUCCAGAACCGACGUUCAGGCACGAAAGCGUGGGGAGCAAACAGGAUUAGAAACCCGCGUAGUCC
RNAcentral lists this ribosomal RNA (292 nucleotides) under uncultured bacterium. RNAcentral's name for it is "partial 16S ribosomal RNA". It matches the Rfam family "Bacterial small subunit ribosomal RNA", at positions 505 to 796 of the family's 1533-position model. The record is from RNAcentral.